This 322-nucleotide ribosomal RNA is filed under the name uncultured eukaryote. Its description in RNAcentral is "partial 18S ribosomal RNA". It matches the Rfam family "Eukaryotic small subunit ribosomal RNA", at positions 1470 to 1796 of the family's 1831-position model. The record is from RNAcentral.
CCCUUAGAUGUCCUGGGCCGCACGCGCGCUACACUGACAUGUUCAACAAGUUUCUCCUAGUUCGACAGGACUGGGAAAUCUUUGAACGCAUGUCGUGAUAGGGAUAGAUCAUUGCAAUUAUUGAUCUUGAACGAGGAAUUCCUAGUAAACGCGAGUCAUCGGCUCGCAUUGAUUACGUCCCUGCCCUUUGUACACACCGCCCGUCGCACCUACCGAUUGAAUGUUUCGGUGAAGAUUCCGGAUAGGACUGAUUUGAUUUAUUUCAUUUCUGACCUAAAAGCUAUCUAAACCUCAACAUUUAGAGGAAGGUGAAGUCGUAACA